This 761-nucleotide ribosomal RNA is filed under the name bacterium enrichment culture clone WG_246. Its description in RNAcentral is "bacterial SSU rRNA". It matches the Rfam family "Bacterial small subunit ribosomal RNA", at positions 66 to 800 of the family's 1533-position model. The record is from RNAcentral.
ACUUCUUUUUCCACCGGAGCUUGCUCCACCGGAAAAAGAGGAGUGGCGAACGGGUGAGUAACACGUGGGUAACCUGCCCAUCAGAAGGGGAUAACACUUGGAAACAGGUGCUAAUACCGUAUAACAAUCAAAACCGCAUGGUUUUGAUUUGAAAGGCGCUUUCGGGUGUCGCUGAUGGAUGGACCCGCGGUGCAUUAGCUAGUUGGUGAGGUAACGGCUCACCAAGGCCACGAUGCAUAGCCGACCUGAGAGGGUGAUCGGCCACAUUGGGACUGAGACACGGCCCAAACUCCUACGGGAGGCAGCAGUAGGGAAUCUUCGGCAAUGGACGAAAGUCUGACCGAGCAACGCCGCGUGAGUGAAGAAGGUUUUCGGAUCGUAAAACUCUGUUGUUAGAGAAGAACAAGGAUGAGAGUAACUGUUCAUCCCUUGACGGUAUCUAACCAGAAAGCCACGGCUAACUACGUGCCAGCAGCCGCGGUAAUACGUAGGUGGCAAGCGUUGUCCGGAUUUAUUGGGCGUAAAGCGAGCGCAGGCGGUUUCUUAAGUCUGAUGUGAAAGCCCCCGGCUCAACCGGGGAGGGUCAUUGGAAACUGGGAGACUUGAGUGCAGAAGAGGAGAGUGGAAUUCCAUGUGUAGCGGUGAAAUGCGUAGAUAUAUGGAGGAACACCAGUGGCGAAGGCGGCUCUCUGGUCUGUAACUGACGCUGAGGCCCGAAAGCGUGGGGAGCAAACAGGAUUAGAUACCCUGGUAGUCCACGC